CCAUUAGUUCCAUUAGCAGCAACUAUCGUUGCUCCUGAGGUGGAACAGAAAGCAGAAGCAGAUGAUUAUGAGAAAUUGGCAAAAGAGCUAACAAAUGCUUCUCCUUUGAAGAUUAUGGAUAAAGCCCUUGAGAAAUUUGGAAGUGAAAUUGCCAUUGCUUUCAGUGGCGCUGAAGAUGUUGCUUUGUUAGAGUAUGCUCGUUUAACUGGUCGUCCAUUUAGAGUAUUCAGCCUUGAUACUGGG
RNAcentral lists this unclassified non-coding RNA (243 nucleotides) under Hevea brasiliensis (rubber tree). The record is from RNAcentral. Lineage: Eukaryota; Viridiplantae; Streptophyta; Magnoliopsida; Malpighiales; Euphorbiaceae.